UACGGGGGGAGCAAGCGUUGUUCGGAUUUACUGGGCGUAAAGGGCUCGUAGGCGGCCAACUAAGUCCGACGUGAAAUCCCAAGGCUUAACCUUGGAACUGCGUCGGAUACUGGAUGGCUUGAAUUCGGGAGAGGGAUGCAGAAUUCCAGGUGUAGCGGUGAAAUGCGUAGAUAUCUGGAGGAAUACCGGUGGCGAAGGCGGCAUCCUGGACCGACAUUGACGCUGAUGAGCGAAAGCUAGGGGAGCAAACGGG
Molecule: ribosomal RNA, 253 nt
Filed under: uncultured bacterium
Lineage: Bacteria
Description: partial 16S ribosomal RNA
Rfam family: Bacterial small subunit ribosomal RNA
Source: RNAcentral